Molecule: ribosomal RNA, 1510 nt
Filed under: metagenome
Description: bacterial SSU rRNA
Rfam family: Bacterial small subunit ribosomal RNA
Source: RNAcentral
AGAGUUUGAUUCUGGCACAGAACGAACGCUGGCGGCGUGCCUAAUACAUGCAAGUCGAACGAGAAAAUCUGGCUUCGGUUAGAUGAGUAAAGUGGCGAACGGGUGAGUAACACGUGGAUAAUCUGCCUGUCUAUCUGGGAUAAUCCUUCGAAAGGAGGCUAAAUACCGGAUAAAGUGCCUGAGCGGCAUCGCUCGGUCAUCAAAGACGGGGCAACCUGUUGUAGAUAGAUGAAUCCGCGCCUCAUUAGCCUGUUGGCGGGGUAACGGCCCACCAAAGCAACGAUGAGUAGCCGGCCUGAGAGGGUGAUCGGCCACACUGGGACUGAGAUACGGCCCAGACUCCUACGGGAGGCAGCAGUAGGGAAUAUUGCGCAAUGGACGAAAGUCUGACGCAGCAACGCCGCGUGGAUGAUGAAGUAUUUCGGUAUGUAAAAUCCUGUCGGUGGGGAAGAAACGUGUCGGUAGUAACUGAUCGGCACCUGACGGUACCCACAGAGGAAGUCCCGGCUAACUCCGUGCCAGCAGCCGCGGUAAUACGGGGGGGACAAGCGUUGUUCGGAUUUACUGGGCGUAAAGGGCGCGUAGGCGGGCCUUCAAGUCAGAUGUGAAAACUUCGAGCUUAACUCGGAGCCUGCAUUUGAUACUGUUGGUCUUGAGUACAGGAGAGGAGAGUGGAAUUCCAGGUGUAGCGGUGAAAUGCGUAGAUAUCUGGAAGAACACCAGUAGCGAAGGCGGCUCUCUGGACUGAUACUGACGCUCAAGCGCGAAGGCUUGGGGAGCAAACAGGAUUAGAUACCCUGGUAGUCCAAGCGGUAAACUAUGGGUACUAGGUGUCGGAGGUAUCGACCCCUCCGGUGCCGCAGCUAACGCAGUAAGUACCCCGCCUGGGGAGUACGAUCGCAAGAUUGAAACUCAAAGAAAUUGACGGGGGCCCGCACAAGCGGUGGAGUAUGUGGUUUAAUUCGAAUCAACGCGCAGAACCUUACCUGGGUUUGACAUGUACUGGACAGGUGGUGAAAGUCACCCUUCUCUUCGGAGACUGGUACACAGGUGCUGCAUGGCUGUCGUCAGCUCGUGCCGUGAGGUGUUGGGUUAAGUCCCGCAACGAGCGCAACCCUUGUUCAUAGUUGCCAUCAGGUUAUGCUGGGCACUCUAUGGAGACUGCCGGUGAUAAGCCGGAGGAAGGUGGGGAUGACGUCAAGUCCUCAUGUCCCUUACACCCAGGGCUACACACGUACUACAAUGGCCGGUACAGAAGGAUGCAAGACCGCGAGGUGGAGCAAAUCCCCAAAACCGGCCUCAGUUCAGAUUAGAGUCUGCAACUCGACUCUAUGAAGGCGGAAUCGCUAGUAAUCGCUGAUCAGCAGGCAGCGGUGAAUACGUUCCCGGGCCUUGUACACACCGCCCGUCAAGCCACGGAAGUUGGGAGCACCCGAAGCCGUUUGCCAAACCGCAAGGAUGGCGGCGUCUAAGGUGAUACUGACGACUGGGGCUAAGUCGUAACAAGGUA